UGGGGAAUUUUGCACAAUGGGGGAAACCCUGAUGCAGCGACGCCGCGUGAUUUAGAAGGCCUUCGGGUUGUAAAAAUCUUUUCUAUGGGAAGAAAAUGACAGUACCAUAGGAAUAAGGACCGGCUAAUUACGUGCCAGCAUCCGCGGUAAUACGUAAGGUCCGAGCGUUGUCCGGAAUCAUUGGGCGUAAAGGGUACGUAGGCGGGUAAGCAAGUUAGAAGUGAAAUCCUAUAGCUCAACUAUAGUAAGCUUUUAAAACUGCUCAUCUUGAGGUAUGGAAGGGAAAGUGGAAUUCCUAGUGUAGCGGUGAAAUGCGCAGAUAUUAGGAGGAAUACCGGUGGCGAAGGCGACUUUCUGGCCAUAACCUGACGCUGAGGUACGAAAGCGUGGGUAGCAAACAGG
Molecule: ribosomal RNA, 402 nt
Filed under: bacterium
Lineage: Bacteria
Description: partial 16S ribosomal RNA
Rfam family: Bacterial small subunit ribosomal RNA
Source: RNAcentral